Molecule: ribosomal RNA, 253 nt
Filed under: uncultured bacterium
Lineage: Bacteria
Description: partial 16S ribosomal RNA
Rfam family: Bacterial small subunit ribosomal RNA
Source: RNAcentral
UACAGAGGUCUCAAGCGUUGUUCGGAUUCAUUGGGCGUAAAGGGUGCGUAGGCGGCGCGGUAAGUCGGGUGUGAAAUCCCGGAGCUUAACUCGGAAACUGCAUUCGAUACUGCCGUGCUUGAGGACUGGAGAGGAGACUGGAAUUUACGGUGUAGCGGUGAAAUGCGUAGAUAUCGUAAGGAAGACCAGUGGCGAAGGCGGGUCUCUGGACAGUUCCUGACGCUGAGGCACGAAGGUCAGGGGAGCAAACGGG